ACUGUUACAGACACCAGCACUGGAGACACUUCCAUUGAACCACCCUCUGAGUUAAUGACCCGUAGUGAACUUAUCUAAGCAAAAAAUUUGGUUCAUGAAGAGAAGAGCAAGGGCUUCUAUUUUCCUUCCUAAAAGAUUGGCAAGGUCUCGUUGGAGCUAAGCCAGGCAUGCAGGUAAAGUAGCACAUUCUUGACAUCCUGCCCCUCUUUUACCACCAGAUAGAUAUUUUAAUCUUAGGUAUACACAUUUGUUCAUGAUUUAUCUCAUCCAGAUUUUUAUAAGCUUUGGAAGUAGGACAGCAUAUUAAAUGGGAAUUCAGAAGGCAGUUUGAAACUGUGGAAAUCUGGACAUACUCUACUCUGUCCCACUCUUCCUCAGCAAAAGCAGCACCACA
RNAcentral lists this long non-coding RNA (394 nucleotides) under Anas platyrhynchos platyrhynchos (common mallard). Its description in RNAcentral is "lncRNA (ENSAPLG00000028872.1)". The record is from RNAcentral. Lineage: Eukaryota; Metazoa; Chordata; Aves; Anseriformes; Anatidae.